Molecule: ribosomal RNA, 253 nt
Filed under: uncultured bacterium
Lineage: Bacteria
Description: partial 16S ribosomal RNA
Rfam family: Bacterial small subunit ribosomal RNA
Source: RNAcentral
GACGUAGGGCGCGAGCGUUGUCCGGAUUUAUUGGGCGUAAAGAGCUCGUAGGCGGUCUGUCGCGUCUGCUGUGAAAACUCGGGGCUUAACCCCGGGCCUGCAGUGGGUACGGGCAGACUAGAGUGCGGUAGGGGAGACUGGAAUUCCUGGUGUAGCGGUGAAAUGCGUAGAGAUCGGGAGGAACACCAGAGGCGAAGGCGGCGACCUGGACAGGCACUGACACUCAACUACGAAAGCGUGGGGAGCAAACAGG